CCUACGGGUGGCAGCAGUGAGGAAUAUUGGUCAAUGGGCGCGAGUCUGAACCAGCCAAGUAGCGUGAAGGAUGACUGCCCUAUGGGUUGUAAACUUCUUUUAUAAAGGAAUAAAGUGAGGCACGUGUGCCUUUUUGUAUGUACUUUAUGAAUAAGGAUCGGCUAACUCCGUGCCAGCAGCCGCGGUAAUACGGAGGAUCCGAGCGUUAUCCGGAUUUAUUGGGUUUAAAGGGAGCGUAGAUGGGUUGUUAAGUCAGUUGUGAAAUUUUGCGGCUCAACCGUAAAAUUGCAACUGAUACUGGCAGCCUUGAGUACAGUUGAGGUAGGCGGAAUGUGUGGUGUAGCGGUGAAAUGCUUAGAGAUCACGCAGAACUCCGAUUGCGAAGGCAGCUUACUAAGCUGCCACUGACAUUGAGGCUCGAAAGUGUGGGUAUCAAACAGGAUUAGAUACCCUAGUAGUC
This 460-nucleotide ribosomal RNA is filed under the name uncultured bacterium. Its description in RNAcentral is "partial 16S ribosomal RNA". It matches the Rfam family "Bacterial small subunit ribosomal RNA", at positions 338 to 795 of the family's 1533-position model. The record is from RNAcentral.